UUAAUUAAAACCAAAAAGAGGUAUAUUAUUGUUAAUAAUAAAAUUAAAUAUAAAUUAUUUUAAUUAAA
Molecule: transfer RNA, 68 nt
Filed under: Athalia scapulata
Lineage: Eukaryota; Metazoa; Arthropoda; Insecta; Hymenoptera; Athaliidae
Description: tRNA-Asn
Source: RNAcentral